This 120-nucleotide ribosomal RNA is filed under the name Triticum turgidum subsp. durum (durum wheat). The record is from RNAcentral. Lineage: Eukaryota; Viridiplantae; Streptophyta; Magnoliopsida; Poales; Poaceae.
GGAUGCGAUCAUACCAGCACUAAAGCACCGGAUCCCAUCAGAACUCCGAAGUUAAGUGUGCUUGGGCGAGAGUAGUACUAGGAUGGGUGACCUCCUGGGAAGUCCUCGUGUUGCAUUCCA